UGGGGAAUUUUGGACAAUGGGCGAAAGCCUGAUCCAGCAAUGCCGCGUGUGUGAAGAAGGCCUUCGGGUUGUAAAGCACUUUUGUCCGGAAAGAAAUCCUUGGCUCUAAUACAGUCGGGGGAUGACGGUACCGGAAGAAUAAGCACCGGCUAACUACGUGCCAGCAGCCGCGGUAAUACGUAGGGUGCAAGCGUUAAUCGGAAUUACUGGGCGUAAAGCGUGCGCAGGCGGUUUGCUAAGACCGAUGUGAAAUCCCCGGGCUCAACCUGGGAACUGCAUUGGUGACUGGCAGGCUAGAGUAUGGCAGAGGGGGGUAGAAUUCCACGUGUAGCAGUGAAAUGCGUAGAGAUGUGGAGGAAUACCGAUGGCGAAGGCAGCCCCCUGGGCCAAUACUGACGCUCAUGCACGAAAGCGUGGGGAGCAAACAGGAUUAGAUACCCUGGUAGUCCACGCCCUAA
RNAcentral lists this ribosomal RNA (458 nucleotides) under uncultured bacterium. Its description in RNAcentral is "partial 16S ribosomal RNA". It matches the Rfam family "Bacterial small subunit ribosomal RNA", at positions 355 to 805 of the family's 1533-position model. The record is from RNAcentral.